AUUUAAGCCUAUUCAGCCGAACCCUAGCCUCAUUUCCUCUCUUCAGCCGCACUAAGCCAAAUCCCUUGGCCUUGACCUCAUCGCAGCCGACAACGGGCGCCUUCAUCCCUCGCCAAUGAUUUACAGCCCCGUGAUUCCUCCCCCACCUUCGAUUUCAACGAAGUCAAGAGGAAUCAAUGGCGGAUUCGAAGGGUAAGGGGUGUGCGUUGGCGUACGGGGACUGUGCUGGCGUACGGAGGCUUGGGCGUGGCUGCUGAAAUGCUGAAGGGUACAGAGGCAUGGUGGCUUGGCUGCGGCGCGAGGGGGAGAAACCUUAGGCUUCUAGUGUUUUAGUUUUUCGGGCCUGUUGGGCCGUGAAUUCUUGGGCUGUGUAGUUGGACUGACGGACUGUUAAUAUUUGGAUUUUUUUGUUCUUGUUUAUUUAUUAUUUUUAUUGUGAAUAGGGCCAGGGCAUAAUUGACUUAUUAUAGUGUUGACACCAAUUUUCUUUUCAUAAUAA
Gossypium arboreum is the source of this 499-nucleotide long non-coding RNA. RefSeq lists it as uncharacterized. The transcript is spliced from 2 exons. Lineage: Eukaryota; Viridiplantae; Streptophyta; Magnoliopsida; Malvales; Malvaceae. The record is from RefSeq and is a predicted model, not a curated record.